UGCAGUCGACGAGAACGGCGGCUUCUGUCGCUAAGUAAAGUGGCAGACGGCUGAGUAACACGUAAGUAACCAACCCCGGAGCGGGGAAUAAUCAUGAGAAAUCGUGCCUAAUACCCCGUACGUCCCAACAGGCGUUGCCGUUGGGGGAAAGGCUUCGGUCGCUCUGGGACGGGCUUGCGGCCUAUCAGGUAGUUGGUGGGGUAAAGGCCCACCAAGCCGUAGACGGGUACCCGGUGUGAGAGCACGAACGGGCAGAGGGGGACUGAGACACGGCCCCCACUCCUACGGGAGGCAGCAGCAGGGAAUCUUGCGCAAUGGGCGAAAGCCUGACGCAGCGACACCGCGUGGAGGAAGAAGGCUUUCGGGUCGUAAACUCCUUUUCUCGGGGAAGAGAACGGACGGUACCCGAGGAAUAAGCAUCGGCUAACUACGUGCCAGCAGCCGCGGUAAUACGUAGGAUGCGAGCGUUGUCCGGAUUUACUGGGCGUAAAGGGCGAGUAGGCGGCCCGCUAAGUCUCAUGUGAAAUCUCCCGGCUCAACUGGGAGGGGUCAUGAGAAACUGGCAGGCUUGAGGUCAGCAGAGGAAAGCGGAAUUCCCGGAGUAGCGGUGAUAUGCGUAGAUACCGGGAGGAACACCAGAGGCGAAGGCGGCUUUCUGGGCUGCACCUGACGCUGAGGCGCGAAAGCGUGGGGAGCGAACCGGACUAGAUACCCGGGUAGUCCACGCCCUAAAUGGUGGAUACUAGACAUGGGGGGUAUCGACCCCCUCUGUGUCGUAGUUAACGCGUUAAGUAUCCCGCCUGG
This 804-nucleotide ribosomal RNA is filed under the name uncultured bacterium. RNAcentral describes it as "bacterial SSU rRNA". It matches the Rfam family "Bacterial small subunit ribosomal RNA", at positions 56 to 876 of the family's 1533-position model. The record is from RNAcentral.